RNAcentral lists this ribosomal RNA (708 nucleotides) under Molineus sp. n. DIHM-2021. RNAcentral's name for it is "partial large subunit ribosomal RNA". It matches the Rfam family "Eukaryotic large subunit ribosomal RNA", at positions 345 to 972 of the family's 3401-position model. Lineage: Eukaryota; Metazoa; Nematoda; Chromadorea; Rhabditida; Molineidae. The record is from RNAcentral.
CAAGUACUGUGAAGGAAAGUUGCAAAGAACUUUGAAGAGAGAGUUCAAGAGAACGUGAAAUCGUUGAAGUUGAACCGGAGAGAGUUGACGUAGUAUAGUGGAUAAGUAUCGCAAGAAUCGCAUCAUUAUAAUAUGAUGAAUGUGAACGAGCGUUAUGUAUGCCAUUAAUAACUGCACUGACAGCAUCGACUACACGAUCUGAACUGUGUUGACAUGUUGCCCAUUCUAUAUUUAAUAGAAUGGUGUCUUGUGUUAUGUGGUAAAGUUUGUUGUUUAGUGUUGAUGUUGAAAAUGUUGUGAAUUAUUUAAUAAUGAUGUCAGUGUAAAAGUCAAUCACCUCUCCGACCCGUCUUGAAACACGGACCGAGGAGUGUAAUUUGUACGCAAGUCAAUAGGUGUUAAAACCUAAAGGCGUAAUGAAAAUGAAGGCACGGUUAACCGGUUAACAUGGGAGACGUUCGUUUGUUUGUUAAUCAGACAACGUUACGUUACACCAUGGCCCUGUCUUAUCUGUAUACAGAUGGGCAGCGGUAGAGCGUAUAGAUUGCGACCCGAAAGAUGGUGAACUAUGCCUGAGCAGGACGAAGUCAGAGGAAACUCUGAUGGAAGUCCGUAUCGGUUCUGACGUGCAAAUCGAUCGAUAGACUUGGGUAUAGGGGCGAAAGACUAAUCGAACCAUCUAGUAGCUGGUUCCCUCCGAAGUUUCCC